AUAGAACGCUGGCGGCAGGCCUAACACAUGCAAGUCGAACGAGUGGCGGACGGGUGAGUAAUGUCUGGGAAACUGCCUGAUGGAGGGGGAUAACUACUGGAAACGGUAGCUAAUACCGCAUACCAUCGGAUGUGCCCAGUUGGGAUUAGCUAGUAGGUGGGGUGAUGGCUCACCUAGGCGACGAUCCCGAGCUGGUCUGAGAGGAUGCCCAGGCACAGUGGAAAUGAGAAACGGUCCAGAAGCCUACGGGAGGCAGCAGUGGGGAAUAUUGCACAAUGGGCGCAAGCCUGAUGCAGCCAAGCCGCGUGUAUGAAGAAGGCCUUCGGGUUGUAAAGUACUUUCAGCGGGGAGGCGUUACCCGCAGAAGAAGCACCGGCUAACUCCGUGCCAGCCGCCGCGGUAAUAC
RNAcentral lists this ribosomal RNA (406 nucleotides) under uncultured bacterium. RNAcentral's name for it is "partial 16S ribosomal RNA". It matches the Rfam family "Bacterial small subunit ribosomal RNA", at positions 31 to 526 of the family's 1533-position model. The record is from RNAcentral.